RNAcentral lists this ribosomal RNA (495 nucleotides) under uncultured bacterium. RNAcentral describes it as "partial 16S ribosomal RNA". It matches the Rfam family "Bacterial small subunit ribosomal RNA", at positions 29 to 506 of the family's 1533-position model. The record is from RNAcentral.
AUGAACGCUGGCGGCGUGCCUAAUACCUGCAAGUCGAGCGAACAGAUGAGGAGCUUGCUCCUCUGACGUUAGCGGCGGACGGGUGAGUAACACGUGGAUAACCUACCUAUAAGACUGGGAUAACUACGGGAAACCGGAGCUAAUACCGGAUAAUAUAUUGAACCGCAUGGUUCAAUAGUGAAAGACGGUUUUGCUGUCACUUAUAGAUGGAUCCGCGCCGCAUUAGCUAGUUGGUAAGGUAACGGCUUACCAAGGCAACGAUGCGUAGCCGACCUGAGAGGGUGAUCGGCCACACUGGAACUGAGACACGGUCCAGACUCCUACGGGAGGCAGCAGUAGGGAAUCUUCCGCAAUGGGCGAAAGCCUGACGGAGCAACGCCGCGUGAGUGAUGAAGGUCUUCGGAUCGUAAAACUCUGUUAUUAGGGAAGAACAAAUGUGUAAGUAACUAUGCACGUCUGGACGGUACCUAAUCAGAAAGCCACGGCUAACUACGU